RNAcentral lists this ribosomal RNA (210 nucleotides) under Agrobacterium tumefaciens. Its description in RNAcentral is "partial 16S ribosomal RNA". It matches the Rfam family "Bacterial small subunit ribosomal RNA", at positions 81 to 308 of the family's 1533-position model. The record is from RNAcentral. Lineage: Bacteria; Pseudomonadati; Pseudomonadota; Alphaproteobacteria; Hyphomicrobiales; Rhizobiaceae.
GCCCCGCAAGGGGAGUGGCAGACGGGUGAGUAACGCGUGGGAACAUACCCUUUCCUGCGGAAUAGCUCCGGGAAACUGGAAUUAAUACCGCAUACGCCCUACGGGGGAAAGAUUUAUCGGGGAAGGAUUGGCCCGCGUUGGAUUAGCUAGUUGGUGGGGUAAAGGCCUACCAAGGCGACGAUCCAUAGCUGGUCUGAGAGGAUGAUCAGC